This 555-nucleotide ribosomal RNA is filed under the name uncultured bacterium. Its description in RNAcentral is "bacterial SSU rRNA". It matches the Rfam family "Bacterial small subunit ribosomal RNA", at positions 53 to 601 of the family's 1533-position model. The record is from RNAcentral.
ACAUGCAAGUCGAGGGGUAACAGGGAAAAGCUUGCUUUUCCGCUGACGACCGGCGCACGGGUGCGUAACGCGUAUGCAACCUACCUCUUACUGGGGUAUAGCCCAGAGAAAUUUGGAUUAAUCCCCCAUAGUACCAUUUAAUCGCAUGGUUGAAUGGUUAAAGGUUACGGUAAGAGAUGGGCAUGCGUCCCAUUAGUUAGUUGGUGAGGUAAUGGCUCACCAAGACUCCGAUGGGUAGGGGUUCUGAGAGGAUGAUCCCCCACACUGGUACUGAGACACGGACCAGACUCCUACGGGAGGCAGCAGUGAGGAAUAUUGCGCAAUGGACGAAAGUCUGACGCAGCCAUGCCGCGUGCAGGAUGACGGCGCUACGCGUUGUAAACUGCUUUUAUUUACAAAGAAACCUCGGGACGUGUCCCGAGCUGACGGUAGUAUUUGAAUAAGCACCGGCUAACUCCGUGCCAGCAGCCGCGGUAAUACGGAGGGUGCAAGCGUUAUCCGGAUUUAUUGGGUUUAAAGGGUCCGUACGCGGAUGAUUAAGUCAGUGGUGAAAGC